UACGUAGGUGGCAAGCGUUGUCCGGAAUUAUUGGGCGUAAAGCGCGCGCAGGUGGUUUCUUAAGUCUGAUGUGAAAGCCCACGGCUCAACCGUGGAGGGUCAUUGGAAACUGGGGAACUUGAGUGCAGGAGAGAAGAGUGGAAUUCCACGUGUAGCGGUGAAAUGCGUAGAGAUGUGGAGGAACACCAGUGGCGAAGGCGGGUCUCUGGGCCGAUACUGACGCUGAGGAGCGAAAGCGUGGGGAGCGAACAGG
This 253-nucleotide ribosomal RNA is filed under the name uncultured bacterium. Its description in RNAcentral is "partial 16S ribosomal RNA". It matches the Rfam family "Bacterial small subunit ribosomal RNA", at positions 524 to 776 of the family's 1533-position model. The record is from RNAcentral.